UACGGGGGGAGCAAGCGUUGUUCGGAUUUACUGGGCGUAAAGAGCGCGCAGGCGGUCGUCCAAGUCGCGUGUGAAAGCCCCCGGCUCAACUGGGGAGGGUCACGCGAUACUGGUCGACUCGAAGGCAGGAGAGGGUAGUGGAAUUCCCGGUGUAGUGGUGAAAUGCGUAGAUAUCGGGAGGAACACCAGUGGCGAAGGCGACUACCUGGCCUGUUCUUGACGCUGAGGCGCGAAAGCUAGGGGAGCAAACGGG
Molecule: ribosomal RNA, 253 nt
Filed under: uncultured bacterium
Lineage: Bacteria
Description: partial 16S ribosomal RNA
Rfam family: Bacterial small subunit ribosomal RNA
Source: RNAcentral